GGUUAAGUGACGAAGCGUAGACGGUGGAUGCCUAGGCAGUUGGAGGCGAUGAAGGACGUACUAACUUGCGAUAAGCCAUGAUGAGGCAGUAAGAGCCGCAUGAGUCA
Molecule: ribosomal RNA, 107 nt
Filed under: Pseudidiomarina terrestris
Lineage: Bacteria; Pseudomonadati; Pseudomonadota; Gammaproteobacteria; Alteromonadales; Idiomarinaceae
Description: partial 23S ribosomal RNA
Rfam family: Bacterial large subunit ribosomal RNA
Source: RNAcentral